UACCAGUUUCGUUCAAAUAAUGGUGGGGAAGAUUCGACAACUGCAACAAAGAGUUAUCAGUUACUCCCACAUAAUAGAGGAGAAGAGUCGACAACUGAGACUAGAAAUUACCAGUUUCGUUCAAAUAAUGGUGGGGAAGAUUCGACAACUGCAACAAAGAGU
Molecule: long non-coding RNA, 162 nt
Organism: Bactrocera neohumeralis
Lineage: Eukaryota; Metazoa; Arthropoda; Insecta; Diptera; Tephritidae
Exons: 3
Source: RefSeq, a predicted model, not a curated record